Molecule: ribosomal RNA, 518 nt
Filed under: Hyaloscypha variabilis
Lineage: Eukaryota; Fungi; Ascomycota; Leotiomycetes; Helotiales; Hyaloscyphaceae
Description: eukaryotic LSU rRNA
Rfam family: 5.8S ribosomal RNA (bases 178-331)
Source: RNAcentral
AAAAAAAGAGAAACGUCCCGUUCUUUUUCAUAAGAAUGGGUUCUAUUCCCUUAAACCGUGUCUACAUACCUUUGUUGCUUUGGCAGGCCGCCUUCGGGCGUCGGCUCCGGCUGAUAGUGCCUGCCAGAGGACCCAAACUCUAUGUUUAGUGAUGUCUGAGUACUAUAUAAUAUUUAAAACUUUCAACAACGGAUCUCUUGGUUCUGGCAUCGAUGAAGAACGCAGCGAAAUGCGAUAAGUAAUGUGAAUUGCAGAAUUCAGUGAAUCAUCGAAUCUUUGAACGCACAUUGCGCCCCUUGGUAUUCCGAGGGGCAUGCCUGUUCGAGCGUCAUUAUAACCACUCAAGCCUGGCUUGGUAUUGGGGUUUUCGCGUGUUCGCGGCCCUUAAAAUCAGUGGCGGUGCCGUCUGGCUCUAAGCGUAGUAAUUUCUCUCGCUAUAGGGUUCCGGUGGUUACUUGCCAAAACCCCCCAUUUUUUCUAGGUUGACCUCGGAUCAGGUAGGGAUACCCGCUGAACUU